UUAGCUAUUCUUACCACAUUGCAGUGUCACUUUUUAUUUCACUCAUAUGAAAGAGAUGCUUUAAGAAACAUUUUGAAACCACAAGAAUGAAAUAUCUAUUAUCUUUGGUAUUGGUUCUGUUUAUCCUCGAGGUAGACCUUUGUGUGAUGCUGUGUGCUGACAGAGAACUCUGGCAAGCGCAUCUUCCAUCUUCAGGUGUGUGCAUGCAGGAGCUAGAGGUGGAAGCUUUGCUGAAGGCUCGUGAAGAAUUGGAGCAUUAUGUUGGUGAGUGUGGUGGUUCAGUGUAGGAAGACAGUGCAGAUAAAAGAACUACCUUCGUUUUUAGAAAUCAGAGUGUGAGGUCUUUUUAACCUGUUUAAUUAAAGAGUUUAUCUUAUUGAUCUAUAAAUUUCAGGGCUGGGACUAUGUAAACGUGUAACCAGCGCAUGGUAAAACCUUGCCUACGGUUCAUGCUCCACGAGAUGGAGCCAGAACUGCCUUUAACACGCCAGCACCAGCCCUGGGGAAAGCCGCAGCCGGGCUCUGCCCGCGGCGCUGCCCUUGCCUUGCGCUUCACCCGCGGAGCUGCUGCUCGCCCUGCCCCUCACACCAGGGCAGCCCGGCUCGCACGGAACGAGGGACACGCUCUGAUCCACCCCACACCAUCGCCUCCUCUCCUCCUUCUCCUCCUCUCCUCCUUCUCCUCCUCCUCAUCCUCCUCCUUCCUCUGCGCUCCCGUGCUGAGGAAUCGCCGGCAGCGCAAAGAAACCCUGCAAAGACACCAGCGCCUCGCUGCUGGCAGGCCUGGGCAAAGGAUGCUGUCCCCUGUCUGCAUCUGCAGUUUGUUGUUCGGCUUAGCUGAGGCAAUAAUACAUGAGAAAAACUGGGGGGUGAAACUGGAAGUAAAAUAUGCAACACCUGGCAGUGAAACAGAAAGUAAGAAUACUUUUUGGGUCACUGAGUUGCGUGUGGAAAGAUAUACUUCCUACUGAUUUUAACAAAACAACAAAGCCUCUAAUUGGAAUCCUUCUAGGAAUACAUGUGCUACAUGGAAAAAACCCAGACCCAUAAAAUCACAUAGUGGGUGAUAAUGGAUUUCAAAACAACUUGGAGUUUUGAAAUUGACUGCAAUGAAAAUUAACUGAUCUGAAGUAAGAGUCAGUGAUACCAAAAAAUACUACUGCUAAAAAAACAUCCUUUGGCAAGUAGGUGUCCCUUAAGGAGGUCAGCUGGAACUGCUGGUCGAACACAUGAAGCUUAGACUGAAUCCCAUGCUAGAAAUGUGGAGCUAACUGAGCAAGGCUGUACACUGAGGGGUGUCUGUGAAGAUGCCUUUCCAGGAAGGUUUCUGAGUCAACAAGUGUCCAAAAUUUGAGACAGGUCUGCAAGCAGGAAAGCCUGAAUGAAACAUUUUGGAAAACUUUUAAAUGACCAAAAUAUAAAAAUGCUGUUGUUUUAAAGUCAACAAUUUCAAGCAAUAACAGUCUAAUUUUUGCAAGGAGAGCAAUUAUUUAUUGCAUCACUGGAUUUUACAAAUCAAAAAACCCUAUUCUUCAGGAUUUGACAGUCAUGUAUGUGAAAGAGAGCCAAAACCCCUCAGUUACAGAAUCACAGGAUGGGUCAGGUUGGAAGGGACCACAGUGGGUCAUCUGGUCCAGUCUCCCUGCUCAAGCAGGGUCAACCCAGAGUACAUGGCACAGGAUUGUGUUCAGCUGUUUUUUUUAAUAUCUCCAGUGAGAGAGACUCCACAACCUCUCUAGGUAAUGUGUUCCAGUGCUCGGUCACCCACACAGUAAAGAAGUUCUUCCUCACAUUCAGGUGGAAUUUCCUGUGCAUCAGUUUCUGCCCAUUGCCUCUUGUCCUGUUGCUUGGCACCACUGAGAAGAGCUUGGAUCCAUGCUCUUGCCACCCCUCCCUUCAGUCACUUACAGACAUGGAGGAGUCCCCUCACACAGCUGCUUUGCCACUGCAUCCACUGUGAAUGUCCAGUCAGACUUGUUGGCCUGAGCCUGGUCUGAUGGACGCGACUGCCAGGGCUGAGGGCCAUUAAUAGCUAAUUAAAAGCGUUAAUUAAAAAUUUUGUCUUAAGGCAGAGGAUGUGUUCUGAAUUGUAGAGUAUGGUUUUCAUUUAUUUGUAGAGGGAUGUGAAUGUGUGUAGAUGUAAAAACACCUGCUGCAUCACACUAGGGUGGAGUUGUUAUUGUGUCUUCCUUGUGCUGUGGUGGGAGAAGGGUGAAGCACUAGGCAGUAGCUUCUUUGUUUGGCUCCUAAAAACGUCACUUGACAUACGUAAAACUGACCUAAUCAUAACCAGAAACUGAAUUUGGUGUCUUUUGCCAAGAUAAAAAAGCUUUUUUUGUUUGUAUGCUUCUCAUGAUGUAUGUUACUGCUGAUAUCUCCACCACUUUGCCCUUUGGUCCGCUAGAAGCAGCAAAAUACUGAAACAUGAUAACUGAGAGGAUUAUGCAAACAAAGGGAAUAUUUACAUGUAGAGAAUAAUAUUGACAUUUGGAUCUGCCUUACAGUGUUCCCUCAAAUUACACUGAGCAAGAAUAUAUUCGGGCUUCUUUGUUAGAUUUGCAUGCUGUAUUAAUUAUGACUGAUUCUUAAAAAUAUGAGGUGCAUUACUAGUAAGCUCAGACACCGAGUAAUGUGUGGCUAAAAUUUGUAGUCAACUUAUGGUUGACAGCUAAUGCAAACAGCUGGAUGACUGUAGAGAACCAAAAUGCAUUGAAAGUGUCUCAUGCCCAGCAAUUGAAAGUGCACUCAGAUUUUUCUUCAGCCAUCUUAUUUCAUUGAAAACAUCCCUUAAGCGUAAUUUAAUCUCUUUUAAAUGUUAGCAAUCCUAUGACAAAUGAGUUGCAUGGUAAGAAAUAUCUGUGAGAAGCAUCUUAGCAAAUGCCUUUAUUGUUAGGUAAAAAUAACAUUUUGUCUGACAAGGAAAGAAAUAUUUGCAAGAUAUGGGUGGGUUGUGGUUUUUUUUUUGGUUUUUUCUUUUUUUUUUUUUAAGAUUACUGUUAUAUAAAUAUUACAAAAUCGUAACGCAAACACUUUCAAUGAGAAAUAGCUUUCUCUAAUUUGUUCUUUUUUCUUUUUUUUUUAGUUCAUUUAAAAAAGGGAAAAAACCCAUAGGGAGUCAAGGGUUAGCAAAUAUACUGGUACACUUACUGACUUUUUUUUUUUUUUUUUUAAGUGACAAAGGCAAAAGAGGCUGUACUGACCUUUAUGAAAGAAGAGAUCCAUGGGGAAAGGUUUCUUUCUGAUGGACAGGAAGCUAUCCAAUUCAACCAUUAAAGAGAGCAAAGGAGGAUGUUUAGCACAUCGGUUAUCCCAAGGAGUCAAAAGCAACCUCAGGCUGUUAUUCUCUAAGGCUAAAAGUGUGCUUACACAGAAUAUCUCAUUUACAGAAACUAUAAAACACUUCAAUGCACUCAGUUUAAUCAAAUAAGCUAGCUACCUGUUUUUGUUUCAAGGUAAUAUUUUUGAAAUAUUUAAUGUUUUGCUUUCAGUAUUUAUUUUUCUCACUAUGCACAUAAUCCCAAAUUUCACAUUCUGAUUACUAUACUAUAUAACUCUCCAUGACUUCUCUAUAGUACAAGGCUCUCUGUUAAUCAGUUUCUUAUGCAAAAUGCAUAAGUUCCCAAUGCAUACCUGGAUAUAAAAAAUAGUUAUAGAUAAUCAAUAUUUACUAAAGCAAAUAGUAAAAAUUAGAAGUCUCUAAGAAGUAUAGGUCUAAUGAUAGUACAGAAAAUACUACUAAAGCUCAUUAUGUAAACACAAAUGAUUGUACUCUAGGAUAGAUAGAUGGUUAACCUGUGAAAUUAAGGAACCUAAGACUCAGCAUGCUACCCAUUCCUUUAGAGAAGAAGAAAGUACAUAUUAUUUAAAAAAAAAAUAAUCCUGACUUUAGUGAGCAGAGGCGACAUCCAGAGUAGUAGGUACCUGUUAGCAGCUUGUCUCUAUUUUGUAAUAGAGCCUUGCAAUAGGUUGAAUGGCUACACAUGUUCUCUUUUGUUUGUUAAGACUUCUCUUAAAAAGGCAGCCAAAACCGUUGUCAAAAAAGUUUUUAUUAAAAAAAGUAUUGUAGCUUCAUUUGGGCAGUGCUCUCAUUUAGUGGAAUUCUAAUGCAGCUCACUGCACUGGAACAGGACAAACUAAUAAUGAUCAUGGUUAUAACAAAUGGGACUUCAAUAUGUGCUGGUGGUAUUGAUAAAACUGGAAGCUUUCCAGAAUUAUUUCAGUUUAUCUUCAUGGCAUGAAAACUAAAUAGAGGUAAUAACACUGAAUACUAGUCAACUGAACAUUUUAAAUGAACAAUUAGAUAAUCUUUAAAUUUAAAAAAAUCUCCAUGGAAUAUAAAAAGAGUAAGGGCGAAAAGCUUUUACCUAAAAGGACAUAAGAAAAUACAAGCUGUUCUGGAAUUUAUAAACAAUACCUUGAGAGAUUGCUUUAAUAAAUUCAGGAAUAAAAGAGGACUAAUAGGCAAAAAAUGCAAAAAAAACACAAUGAAAACUGAAGCUGUGUUUGAUUCACUGAUGUACAUAUAAUAUGUUUUAUAAAAAAGCAUGGUUUUAAAUACAUUUCCCAAUAAAUUUCCCUAGAAAACUCCAAAGUUUUAUUGAAGUAUUAUUAAACAACAUGUCAGGUAGGAUGACAUUUAUUAAUGAUUAGUGAAAACAAUCUUAAGCUAAAAAGUCAUCUUUACCAAUGUAUAUUAAAAAAAGAGAUAGCCAGUAAAGAUGUAUAAAAUUACUUCUUUCUUUAGAAAUAUGUUUCUAUGUUUUACAUGCUUACUGCAAAUGAAGAAAAAUAUUCUAAUGAAGUGAAAGUACAUGAUAGGUAAACUGAAUCCCUGAUGUAAAGCUCUCCUUUGAGUUCUUGACUAUGGGGCUGAUCUUUACAGGCUGAAAUUAUUCUUGCAGACAUUUGAAAUUUAGGAGGAUCCCAAUUUUCGUGCAGAAGUCAGCUCAGUUGUAACUAUAUUAAAUGGCACAUAUUGUAUAUACAUGCAUUUCUACAUGCUUAUUAAAAAAUAAUGUAGCAUAUACUUUGUUUCAAGUGAACAUUUACUUAAGAAUACGUAGUAAUGUGAGCAUGACACACUGAUUUAUGUGGGAGCAUGAAAUUAGUUUUAUGUUACAGUAUUUUAUGUCUGCCAAAUCAGAGAAAGUUAUAAAAGCUCAAGGGUUUUUCACCUGACAGGGGUAUUUUCCUGUUUAUUUUCUUAAAUAGUAACAUUAUAUUUUACUUAAAUGUUGUGUGAGAUUUUUUUUACUCUUUUUGUGAGUAGUUGAAACAUGAAAGCUGAAACAUGAAAGGUAGUUUCAUGUUACUUUAGAGUAUUUAUUACUUUUGAAGUAUUUUGGUUUUAAAAAGGAAAUUAUAAAAUUUAAUUUUAAAUGAAAAACAUUGAAAGAGAAAAGGAGAACUGUGUAUUCUCUGUUUGUAUUUUCUGCUUCUGUCGAGGUCAAGAUUGAAGGCACUUGAGGUAUUUCAUGUUCGGACUCAGGUGUUUAUUAUUUCUUAUCAGUGAAACAGCUUCAUGACUGAAUUCUACAGCAUUUUAUUAGUAAGGUAUAAAAUAGCUAACUAUCUCUUGUUACAAGGUCUUUUAAGACUAAACUAUCUAAUUUAAAAAUGGCACCUAGAUUAUUUUCCUUUUUAACCCAAUGAGUCAAAGCCUGCAAUGCGGACUUUUCUGUUCAAUUGCAAAACAUCUUCUAAACCCAUGAAGAAGAAGGUAGAAGAUGAAGAAGAACAACCUUCCUCCUUCUUAAAACUUCUAUCUUGCUUCAUAUUUAUUUCUGUAUUGUAUAACUCCAAACUCUAAGUUUUCUAUCCUGUGAUAUUACACACUUCUAACUAACUAACUACCUGUAAUCCCAGUGUUAUUAAUCAAUUUUGGAAGCUUUCUCCAUAGCCUCAGGUCAAAUGUAGUGCUCCCUUGUGAGUCUGUGUCUUUCAGCACAGAAAGUUUAAGAUUAUCAGCAUCCAGGAUUCCAACAAAGAACAGUAUACACACAGCAUUUGCAGUAAUAAUUUGUUCAGAACGUGUUGUGCUUGCCUGAGAAAGGAUUUGUCUAAUUACUGAAAAAUAACCUUCCAAAUCUGUGAUUUUAACCUUUGCAUAAUGAAAGGUAGCAGACCAUGUAAAGAUCUACUAUAGCAGUUUCCACAUUCAUUUUUCACAAUUAUAUUUUGCAUUUUGGUUGUUAGUGAGUGGUUCAGGAACAAAGGCUUCUUUCACAUUUCAGAGGUGCAUGUCCACAGCUGUAUGCACUUAUGCAUUUGGCAUAAAUUUUAGCACUUCUAGAACUUGCUAGAAAGCUACUGAAUUUAAAAAAAAAGGAAAAAAAAAAAAAAAA
Molecule: long non-coding RNA, 6344 nt
Filed under: Taeniopygia guttata (zebra finch)
Lineage: Eukaryota; Metazoa; Chordata; Aves; Passeriformes; Estrildidae
Description: lncRNA (ENSTGUG00000022509.1)
Source: RNAcentral